Molecule: long non-coding RNA, 334 nt
Organism: Varanus komodoensis (Komodo dragon)
Lineage: Eukaryota; Metazoa; Chordata; Lepidosauria; Squamata; Varanidae
Exons: 3
Source: RefSeq, a predicted model, not a curated record
UUUCUUAUAACAGGCAGCUCUGGUAAGCUCUCUUCUCUUCCUGAGAAACAUUCUUUUCACCACCACAUGCUUCUUUGCAGCAGCUUGUCUAAGAGGCACUUCAGGUACAGUGAAUUAACUGGGCACAUCCAGCAAAAAACCACACACUGUGGAAAGUAUGCACGGUCGCUUGUUAUGAUGGGAUCAGAAGCUCUAUGCCUCUGAACAUCCGUCACUGGACCUGGUUGACCACUGCAGGAAACAGGGUUCAAGGCUUUUCCGAUGGAGAGGUACCGCCUUUAAAAGUGGUCUAAUAAUAAUUCAAAAUAAAUCAAUGAAUCAUGUUAUUUAUUAU